AAGUCGUAACAAGGUUUCCGUAGGUGAACCUGCGGAAGGAUCAUUAUCACGUAUCCACGUAUAAACCAUUGUGAACUGUCACCCACCUUUGUAAGAAACUCAGAAGAAUGUAAACGCUCAUGGUCCUUAUUGUAAUUUAAGACCUGUUUGCAUUCGAUCGCCGGGCAACCGACGGUAUGACUUCUCUCAAAGUGUAUUUAAAUUACAUUUGAUUAACAAUUUGAACAACCUUUUAAACUUUGAACUAACUUGUUUCUUACUCUUAACCGAGAAGAAAUUCAUUACGAAACAAAGAACAACUCUUAGCAACGGAUAUCUUGGUUCUCGUAACGAUGAAGAACGCAGU
RNAcentral lists this unclassified non-coding RNA (346 nucleotides) under fungal sp. RNAcentral's name for it is "partial internal transcribed spacer region". The stretch from base 1 to 46 matches the Rfam family "Eukaryotic small subunit ribosomal RNA", at positions 1786 to 1831 of the family's 1831-position model. Lineage: Eukaryota; Fungi. The record is from RNAcentral.